RNAcentral lists this ribosomal RNA (497 nucleotides) under uncultured bacterium. Its description in RNAcentral is "partial 16S ribosomal RNA". It matches the Rfam family "Bacterial small subunit ribosomal RNA", at positions 28 to 507 of the family's 1533-position model. The record is from RNAcentral.
GAUGAACGCUGGCGGCGUGCCUAAUACAUGCAAGUCGAGCGAACAGACGAGGAGCUUGCUCCUCUGACGUUAGCGGCGGACGGGUGAGUAACACGUGGAUAACCUACCUAUAAGACUGGGAUAAAUUCGGGAAACCGGAGCUAAUACCGGAUAAUAUAUUGAACCGCAUGGUUCAAUAGUGAAAGACGGUUUUGCUGUCACUUAUAGAUGGAUCCGCGCCGCAUUAGCUAGUUGGUAAGGUAACGGCUUACCAAGGCGACGAUGCGUAGCCGACCUGAGAGGGUGAUCGGCCACCCUGGAACUGAGACACGGUCCAGACUCCUACGGGAGGCAGCAGUAGGGAAUCUUCCGCAAUGGGCGAAAGCCUGACGGAGCAACGCCGCGUGAGUGAUGAAGGUCUUCGGAUCGUAAAACUCUGUUAUUAGGGAAGAACAAAUGUGUAAGUAACUAUGCACGUCUUGACGGUACCUAAUCAGAAAGCCACGGCUAACUACGUG